CCUACGGGUGGCAGCAGUGAGGAAUAUUGGUCAAUGGCCGGAAGGCUGAACCAGCCACGCCGCGUGAAGGUAAGUGGCUUUCGGGCGGUAAACUUCUUUUGUCUGGGAGCAUUAAUGGUAACGCGUGGCCAGACGAGAGUACUGUACGAAUAAGCAUCGCCUAACUCCGUGCCAGCAGCCGCGGUAAUACGGGAGAUGCCAGCGUUAACGGGAUUUUUUGGGUCUGAAGGGGUCGGAAGCGGGGUGGAUAGUCGACGGUGAAAAGCCACCGCUCAACGGGGUGAAGUGCCAUUGAUACUGUCUUGCUUGAAUGCGGGUGACGUGGGAGGAAUGUGUGGUGUAGCGGUGAAAUGCGUAGAUAUCACACGGAACACCAGUUGCGAAGGCGGCUCA
This 393-nucleotide ribosomal RNA is filed under the name uncultured bacterium. RNAcentral describes it as "partial 16S ribosomal RNA". It matches the Rfam family "Bacterial small subunit ribosomal RNA", at positions 338 to 728 of the family's 1533-position model. The record is from RNAcentral.